This 153-nucleotide ribosomal RNA is filed under the name Marchantia sp. TXZ-ec. RNAcentral's name for it is "partial 26S rRNA". It matches the Rfam family "Eukaryotic large subunit ribosomal RNA", at positions 1 to 152 of the family's 3401-position model. Lineage: Eukaryota; Viridiplantae; Streptophyta; Marchantiopsida; Marchantiales; Marchantiaceae. The record is from RNAcentral.
CUGACCUCAGAUCAGGCAAGACCACCCGCUGAGUUUAAGCAUAUCACUAAGCGGAGGAAAAGAAACUAACAAGGAUUCCCCUAGUAGCGGCGAGCGAACCGGGAGAAGCCCAGCUUGAAAAUCGCGUCGCUUCGCGGCGCGAGUUGUAGUCUG